UACAGAGGGUGCAAACGUUGCUCGGAAUUAUUGGGCGUAAAGCGCACGUAGGUGGCCAUGUAAGUCAGGAGUGAAAGCCCUCGGCUUAACCGGGGAAGUGCUUUUGAAACUGCAUGGCUUGAGUACUGGAGAGGGUCGCGGAAUUCCCGGUGUAGAGGUGAAAUUCGUAGAUAUCGGGAGGAACACCAGUGGCGAAGGCGGCGACCUGGACAGAUACUGACACUGAGGUGCGAAAGCGUGGGGAGCAAACAGG
RNAcentral lists this ribosomal RNA (253 nucleotides) under uncultured bacterium. Its description in RNAcentral is "partial 16S ribosomal RNA". It matches the Rfam family "Bacterial small subunit ribosomal RNA", at positions 524 to 776 of the family's 1533-position model. The record is from RNAcentral.